This 87-nucleotide transfer RNA is filed under the name Candidatus Methanomarinus sp. HR1. RNAcentral describes it as "ANME-2 cluster archaeon HR1 tRNA-Leu". It matches the Rfam family "tRNA". Rfam says of the family: Transfer RNA (tRNA) molecules are approximately 80 nucleotides in length. Their secondary structure includes four short double-helical elements and three loops (D, anti-codon, and T loops). Further hydrogen bonds mediate the characteristic L-shaped molecular structure. tRNAs have two regions of fundamental functional importance: the anti-codon, which is responsible for specific mRNA codon recognition, and the 3' end, to which the tRNAs corresponding amino acid is attached (by aminoacyl-tRNA synthetases). tRNAs cope with the degeneracy of the genetic code in two manners: having more than one tRNA (with a specific anti-codon) for a particular amino acid; and 'wobble' base-pairing, i.e. permitting non-standard base-pairing at the 3rd anti-codon position. Lineage: Archaea; Methanobacteriati; Methanobacteriota; Methanomicrobia; Methanosarcinales; Candidatus Methanocomedenaceae. The record is from RNAcentral.
UGCGGGGGUGGCCCAGCCAGGUCAAAGGCGAUGGGCUUAGGACCCAUUCUCGUAGGAGUGCGAGGGUUCGAAUCCCUCCCCCCGCAU